Molecule: ribosomal RNA, 253 nt
Filed under: uncultured bacterium
Lineage: Bacteria
Description: partial 16S ribosomal RNA
Rfam family: Bacterial small subunit ribosomal RNA
Source: RNAcentral
UACGUAGGGUGCGAGCGUUAAUCGGAAUUACUGGGCGUAAAGCGUGCGCAGGCGGUUCGCUGUGUCCGAUGUGAAAGCCCCGGGCUUAACCUGGGAAUGGCAUUGGAAACUGGCGGGCUUGAGUGCGGCAGAGGGGGGUGGAAUUCCGCGUGUAGCAGUGAAAUGCGUAGAUAUCGAGAGGAACACCUGCGGCGAAGGCGGGUUGCUGGGCCGACACUGACGCUGAUGCGCGAAAGCCAGGGGAGCGAACGGG